Molecule: non-coding RNA, 106 nt
Organism: Mycena rebaudengoi
Lineage: Eukaryota; Fungi; Basidiomycota; Agaricomycetes; Agaricales; Mycenaceae
Source: the annotation of a GenBank genome assembly
GCCCUGGUUGAUUAAUGGAAAUCACCCACACCCCUUGAGGAGUUAAGCGAUGAAAACUAGAACGGGUUGAUGGGGGGAGACGGAGGUUCGAAUCCUCCCCAGGGCA